Molecule: long non-coding RNA, 300 nt
Organism: Notolabrus celidotus (New Zealand spotty)
Lineage: Eukaryota; Metazoa; Chordata; Actinopteri; Labriformes; Labridae
Exons: 2
Source: RefSeq, a predicted model, not a curated record
GAUGGAGGUAUGAGACAGAGGGAAGGUUAGUCGAGCUCUGGGAACAACAUCCCUGCCUUCAUGACAUGUCAGGAGGGACGGCAAUGACAGACACACUGCUGCAACCUGGGGCGCCACCAGGGAUUUUGGGCCCCGUGAAAAAAGAUCACAUUGGGCCCCAUCACCAAAGGCCACAAGAGCCCUCCAGGAUCCACUCGACCCAGUCGAAGCUUACAUACCCUUCAUACCUUUUCAGCUGUCUUGCCUCUUGGAGUCAAAUAUUUACUGUAUGACUGGCAAAAAUGAAGGAUUCCCUGCACA